CUCCUCUGCUCAGCUGCAUUUACACAACAGAUUUGAAAUUCUUACAUCAUUAACAUACAAUCAGGAAACACAUCUUGUGGAGGACCACAGUUUCUUAGAUACCACUCAGUGGACCAUCCUGGAUCAAUGCGCAGGGGAUAGCCCUGACAGGGACAGUGCAUCACCACAGUCACACUUAUGUAAUCAUGCAAAUGCUCCAUCCCCAAUCAUAGACCAGGAGCAACAGGAACAUCCUUGGGAGAGUAAUGGGCUCUCGGAUGUAUCUCAAUGGAUUGUCAUUGAUGAAUGCACUGGGGAUGUUGAGGAGGAGGACAACACUUUACACCUACAUGAUUCACUUCAACAGGAACACUCUUCAGGGGACAUACACACUGUCUUGCACAAAAGGGACCCUGUCAAUCCUCAAAGGAAACAGGUCUUGGUAGUAGGUGACUCCCUCCUUAGAGGAACGGAAGCCAUCAUUUCCAGACCGGAUGGGAUGGCUCGAGAAACAUGCUGCCUCCCGGGGGCAAAAAUACACCAUAUCACUCAGAGGCUCAGCAGGCUCCUAAAGCCCCAUCACCCUCCCCACCUUAUGUUGAUUCAUGUAGGUACCAAUGACACCGCUAGGCAUACUUUUCAAAAGAUCACAAAUGAUUUUCGAGCUCUGGGAACAAAGCUAAAACUGUAUAAUGUACAUGUGAUCUUUUCAUCCCUCCUCCCCGUUGUAGGACAUGGCUCUACAAGGGCCGGAAAAAUAGUACAGGUCAAUAACUGGCUCAGAAAAUGGUGUCAAGAGGAGCAUUUUGGCUUCCUUGACCAUGGUCUACUCUUCCAAGAGGAUGGACUACUGGCAAGCGAUGGGGUGCAUCUCACACAAGUAGGAAAACAUCUUUUUGCACACAGACUCACAAACCUCAUCAGGCGCACUUUAAACUAAAUCCACUGGGGGAGGGGAACAACAGCCUGGCGAACACUAUAUUACCCACGACCACAGGGAACCGCCGUAAGGCUAAACGGAGGGCUGCACAAACACAGCAAGGACCAAGUACAGAGAGCACAAUAAUCCCAAAUAAACAGUUCGAGGGGAGGUCACAGGGGCUUACAUGUCUUUACACUAAUGCUCAGAGCAUGGGAAAUAAGCAAGACGAACUCCAACUCCUAGCACAGCACCACACAUACGAUGUCAUAGGCAUCACUGAAACCUGGUGGGAUGACUCCCAUCACUGGAAUUUAACCAUUGAGGGCUAUAACCUCUUUCACAUAAAUAGAACAAAGGGGAGAGGAGGGGGAGUAGCUUUAUAUGUCAAAAACAGUUACGUUGCAGAAGAAAUGCAAGACUGUAAUCCGGGAAACCAGCUUGAAAGCAUCUGGAUAAGAAUCAAGGGAACCGGGACUCAAAAAGAUCUUGUCGUGGGUGUCUACUACAGACCUCCGAGUCAGGAUGAAGGACUUGAUGAAGCCUUCUGUCAACAGCUGACCAAACAGGCACAAAGAAGAGAUAUAGUAGUCAUGGGCGAUUUCAAUUAUCCCGAUAUCUGCUGGAAAACAAACUCAGCCAAGAGUACAAAGUCCAACAAAUUCCUCACUUGCCUUGCAGAUAAUUUUAUGGUCCAGAAGGUAGAAGAGGCAACAAGGGGAUCAGCAACUCUUGAUCUAAUCUUAACAAAUGUGGAAGACCUGAUCAAUACAGUUGAAGUGGUUGGAUCCUUAGGGGCAAGUGACCAUGUGCUCCUGCAGUUUGCAAUACAAAGGAAUGCUGAAACUAAGACAAGUCAAACACGCAUUCUGGACUUUAAGAGAGCUGACUUCCAAAAAAUGAAGGAAUUACUGAGCGGCAUUCCAUGGACGCCGAUAUUAAAAAACAAGGGAGUUAAGGAUGGAUGGGAGUUUUUCAAAAGUGAAAUACUCAAGGCGCAAAUGCAAACAGUGCCAACAAAGAAGAAAAAUAAGACAAGUGCAAAGAAGCCAGAAUGGAUGUCCAAAGAACUUCUAACUGAGCUAAAGCUCAAAAGUGACAUGCACAAGAAGUGGAAAAGGGGAGAAAUCACCAAAGAAGAAUUCAAACGUAUAGCCAACUCCUGUAGGGAAAAGGUUCGCAAGGCUAAAGCGCAAAAUGAGCUCAGGCUUGCCAGGGACAUAAAAAACAACAAAAAAGGUUUUUUUGCUUAUGUUGGUAGAAAAAGGAAGAAAAAGGAGGCGAUAGGGCCACUGCAAGGAGUAGAUGGGGUGAUGGUGACAGGGGAUAGGGAAAAGGCAGAACUGCUUAAUGCCUUCUUUGCCUCGGUCUUCUCACAAAAAGAAAGCCAUCUUCAACCUCAGCAACAUGGAAUGGACGAAGGAUUGGGGGAAAUCCAACCCCAAAUAGGGAAACAAGUUGUCCAGGAACACCUGGCCACUCUAAACGAAUUCAAGUCCCCAGGGCCAGAUCAGCUACAUCCAAGAGUAUUGAAGGAACUAGCGGAAGUUAUUUCAGAACCACUGGCAAUCAUCUUCGAGAGUUCUUGGAGAACAGGAGAAGUCCCAGCAGAUUGGAGGAGGGCGAAUGUGGUCCCUAUCUUCAAGAAGGGAAAAAAGAACGACCCAAACAAUUACCGUCCGGUCAGCCUCACAUCAAUACCAGGCAAGAUUCUGGAAAAGAUCAUUAAGGAAGUGGUCUGCAAACACUUAGAAACAAAUGCGGUCAUUGCUAAUAGUCAACACGGAUUUACCAAAAACAAGUCAUGCCAGACUAAUCUGAUCUCUUUUUUCGAUAGAGUUACGAGUUGGGUCGAUACAGGGAAUGCCGUGGAUGUAGCAUAUCUAGAUUUCAGUAAGGCCUUCGACAAAGUCCCCCACGACCUUCUGGCAAACAAACUAGUAAAAUGUGGGCUAGACAAAACUACGGUUAGGUGGAUCUGUAAUUGGCUAAGCGAACGAACCCAAAGGGUGCUCACCAAUGCGUCGUCUUCAUCAUGGAAAGAAGUGACAAGUGGAGUGCCGCAGGGCUCCGUCCUGGGCCCGGUUCUGUUCAACAUCUUUAUUAACGACUUAGACGAAGGGUUAGAAGGCACGAUCAUCAAGUUUGCAGAUGACACCAAACUCGGAGGGAUAGCUAACACUCCAGAAGACAGGAGCAGAAUUCAAAACGAUCUUGACAGACUAGAGAGAUGGGCCGAAACUAACAAAAUGAAGUUCAACAGGGACAAAUGCAAGAUACUUCACUUCGGCAGAAAAAAUGGAAAUCAAAGAUACAGAAUGGGGGACACCUGGCUUGACAGCAGUGUGUGCGAAAAAGAUCUUGGAGUCCUCGUGGACAACAAGUUAAACAUGAGCCUACAAUGUGAUGCGGCAGCUAAAAAAGCCAAUGGGAUUUUGGCCUGCAUCAAUAGGGGAAUAACGUCUAGAUCCAGGGAAGUCAUGCUCCCCCUCUAUUCUGCCUUGGUCAGACCACACCUGGAAUACUGUGUCCAGUUUUGGGCACCGCAGAUGAAGGGAGAUGCUGACAAGCUGGAAAGCGUCCAGAGGAGGGCAACUAAAAUGAUUAAGGGUCUGGAGAACAAGCCCUAUGAGGAGAGGCUUAAAGAGCUGGGCAUGUUUAGCCUGCAGAAGAGAAGGCUGAGAGGAGACAUGAUAGCCAUGUACAAAUAUGUGAGGGGAAGUCAUAGGGAGGAGGGAGCAAGCUUAUUUUCUGCUGCCCUGCAGACUAGGACACGGAACAAUGGCUUCAAACUACAGGAAAGGAGAUUCCACCUGAACAUCAGGAAGAACUUCCUCACUGUGAGGGCUGUUCGGCAGUGGAACUCUCUCCCCCGGGCCGUGGUGGAGGCUCCUUCUUUGGAGGCUUUUAAGCAGAGGCUGGAUGGCCAUCUGUCGGGGGUGCUUUGAAUGCGAUUUCCUGCUUCUUAGCGGGGGGUUGGACUAGAUGGCCCUUGAGGUCUCUUCCAACUCUACUAUUCUAUGAUUCUAUGAUUCUAUAUUGGGAAAUAUUUAAAUGAUCAGAGUCGCAAAACAGUUCUCUAGGUUUCCUCAGCACUAAGUGGAUUUUGGCAGAGGAAUUGCUCACAAAUCACUACUACUAUCAUGGAGAGAGGGGGGGGAAACGCUCCCAUGAGACCACUGUAUUAGUGCCCAGCUUUGCACAAUUCUAUUUUCUGUGACCUCCAGUGUGAAAGGAAGGGACAUGUGUGACAAUGUGUGUAACAAAUGUGUGUGAAAGUGUGGCACUGAAAGCACUGGCUCAUAUGUGGCUAUCUUCCUUCUUUUAAAUCCUACACAAACAUACUUCUUUUGGGAGGUGACUUUAACAAACAAAAACAAAAAUCAACUUGCAUUGAAUUUCCAUAUUCAGGUAAUAUUUGUUUUUGUCACUAGAUAUUUGAUAAUAUAUGCCUCAAGUUGAGAAAGGUGGAUUAUUGCAUUGCAUUACUUGUUAUUCCUACUUCUGAUAGGUAUAGGAACUCUGAUAAACAACUGGCGUUCUCAUUAUACUUGCAUAUAAGCACAGUCUCAUGUGUGAAACACUUUGGAAACCUGCUCAAAGUUUCUGCUCUUUAAAUGAACUGAAUAGGAGGGAAACUUUUUGUGUGAUGUCUUACACACAGUGGUAUUGCUGUCACUGCAUCCUUGCCAGCUGUCACUGUGCCACUUCCUUCUUUUCUAUAUAACAUUCUGCCACCAGAGCAUAGUUAAGUGAGCCAAGGAAGAUAUAAUGGAGUCUCAGUGGAGUGCGUUUUCUUGAAAUCAUCAGCCUAACAUAUCUUCAUCAAACCUUUAUAUUCCCCUAAAAUAACAAUUCACUCACAUUAAUUUCUAGAUUUAUCUCUUUUUCAUGCAAUUGUGUCCAGUGUCCACCUAUUUUGGCUACCAGCUGCUUUCUCACUUCUUAAUCUUUUUUUUUUUUUUAAAGACCACUUUUACUUUGCGAUGAGUCCUGUGAUAUCUUACAUAAACUUAUUCUCAAGACACUUUUUAAAGCCUGUUCCAGAUGAUGGAUAGGCCAUAUAACAGACUGUGGGGAAGAUGAAUACACAGGAGAGGCUCCCGCCAUGUGUCACAUAAUGCGGAGACUUCCUUGCAAUCUUUAUUGUGUUACCUAUUCUGCUCCUGCAUAGAUCAGAACAGAUUGGAAGUGCUGAUUGUCCCAUUCUGUCAAUUCUCUUUUGUCUGUUGAUUUUAUUAAACAUUUAGAGUUACUUGUAGCUACACAGACAACUGCAUGGGCAGCAAAAAAAGAAAAGUAGGGUAGUUCACCUGAAGCAGAACCAUAUAUGUUAGCAUAUCUUGGUAGCAUGUGAUAAUGAAAAUGGAGAAACUAAUUUCUUUGAAAAGGAGGAUAGUUUUGAUUUUUGUCCUCUUGUUUUGAUUUUUGUCUUGUCGGUCCAUAUCAGGUUCACCAAGACCCUUCACUUGUCCAUCUUAAGCAUCUGUCACCCCACUACCUCCAUCCAUCACCAUUGUCUUCGUGCCACCACUAUUGAUUUAGGAUACUGUGUAUACUUUUCUAUAACUACAUGAAUAGUUAUAGGAAAGUGUAGAGGUUGGUAUUUGACUGUUUUUAGUCAACAGAAAGUAAAUCAGAGAAAUUAUGCUUUCCAAAGAGUAGGUUGUGGGGUAGUUAGCUUGCCCCAUAAUUUAAAUGAUCACUAAUUGCAGGUUUACAUAACUUAGGUGCCUGAUUUCUGGAAUAUGAGAUACUUGGUAGUUGAACAACUGAGCACUGGGAGAACAAAUAGUUUCAUAUUUUGGCUGGUGUUCAUUAUAGCUUUGUUGAAUCUGUUUGCUAUUAUUAGCUGUUUGCCUGGACUUUGGAAAAAUGUAUGUCAUGUGUAUUGAAAAUUGUUUACAAUCAGGUGUAACAGAGAGCAGGUCAUGCCAUUACCAAAAAUGUAGGCUUUGUUCAUCCAUUCACAAAUUUCUAAAGAUCAUAAUCUUUCAGGCAGUAGAGUGGUGAAGGUACAUGACCAAUCCUGCAGCAUGCCCAAGGUUUACUUCUCCAUGUGUUGGUUUUUGUCAUAUUUUUCUCUUUCAUAUACUCUGUUGAUUUUCUUCCAAUAUUUGCAUGAUCUGUAUGAACUGUGUAUUAACUUUGAAAGGGAACAGGCAAUGAGUGAAGGCCCCUGGUACUAAUAGGAAUAUAUUUUCAUAACCUGUUAAGAUUAUGAUUCCAAUAUUGGUUAAAUAUUAGUGAAGCAGUAAAAACGCAGAAGACUAGGGGUUUAUGUGAGCAGAGGUAAAAAGAAAUUAAACAAUAAGACAAAAUAUCCAGCCUCCCUUUCCCUUUAAAAAGUCAUGCGCAUAAAAUAAGCAUCAGAGACAUCAAAUAAAAUAGCAAAAAUAUGUUUACUCACAAUCUUGUAUGAUGAUGGUCAUACAGGCAAAAACAUCUUAGUUCCAAAGAAAAACAGUUCAGGAAACUACAUAUCUCUUAACAGACAGGAACAUCAGCAUGGCAUGGUCAGCAGCAAAGAGGAAGAGACAGGAAGAGGCAUCUGUACAUCACUUCCUGUGUGUCCCCAGAAAGGAUACACCCAUUUCCCAUUUCAUAUGCAAAACCCUUAAAUGGUGUCAUCAACUCUGGAAUGCAGCUUGGCUCAGGUUACUAAGCAACAGACAUAACUAACUACAUAAACCAUCCCACAUUGAAAAUGCAUGCAUGAUUGCUUAGAUAACUCAACAGGCCUGACCAGAUUCCUCCUCCCAAUCUUCCCCAAAGAAACAGGAGAGACAGUGAUGAUGAUCCAUCAUUGGCCAAUGGACCUUGUUGAGCAGAGGGGAGUAGCAAGGACACCAAACAGAAGGAUGCCUCUACAUUCACAGUCCAGGUGGUGAAGAUCUCUUGUGGUCUUGGAAAGACUAUAAGUCCUGAAUCUGUAACAGAAACAGUCAAUUACCUUUGCCUUUUUAGCACCUUCUGUAUGUUAAGAUUGUCCUCCUUCUACCAGGUACAUCAUUUGCAAACACAUCUUCAUGCUUAAUGGGAUUUGCUGAUCAGUCAUGUUCUUUCUAAAGUCAUAUUCCAAAAAAAAAAAAACAAGGCUGAAAAUAUGCAGUUUGUAAUCAUAAUAAAAAUGACUUAUAAUAAAGGUGGAAAUCCAGCUGGAAAAGCUUUGCUAGUAUGAGGGUUCCAAGGACUUUAUUUUAAUAAUUCAAUGCAGCUGAAAUGAUAGGGAAUAAAAUUGUAAUUUACAGUUCUUUUCUUAAAGGGUAUUUGACAUUCAUCAUUACCUUCCUUAUCUUGUAUUUUGUUUUUGUAGCUGCUGUUUAAUUGCAUUUAGAAUGAUGCUUAUCUCUGAUCUACAACAGAAUCAAGAGACAUGUAUCAAGAUGCUCACAAAUGGCUGUUUCUAGAUAGAAUUCCUCCUUUGACCAAAUCUUGCCCCCCAGAAAACUGUUAAUAGGUUCACCUAAUGGUUACCCAAAGUCAGAAAUGACUUGAAAGGUGCACCACAACAAUACAAAUGUUUGCGAGUUCCUGGUUCAGAUUUUUUAAUUCUAAGUACAUUCAUCUUUCCAGAUAUGCAGGCUCCAGAUUUGCAAAUGUAAUAUACAUAGCACAGUACACAACAUAAAUAGUGAACAAAUGAGAGAGAGGUGAGUCUGGCAAGAGAAACAAGUCUGGCAAAAAAAAAAAAAAAACUAGGCAUGAAUCCACAUUUUUCUCCAUUUCACAAAUCCUUGGUCUCUCUCCAACCUUACAACUUUCUCUAACCUUGUGUUUCAUUCAUUUGUCACUUUAUAUGAGACCUGAUCAUCUGCAGAUUUUUGGAUCCAUUGGGGAACCUGAAACCAAUCUCCUGCAGAUACAGAGGGCUGACUGUAGUGUCCUGAAAGUCUUAAGUGUACGCAUAGGCUGAAAUGCAUGUGGAUUUCCUACUAAUAAACACACAGCCCCUUUUUGAGCAACUUAAGAUGUGUUUCCUUUUUCUCUUGUGGCUCCACUGGAUGCUCCCCAGGUUUUGCUUCUUCAGCUGUUCAGUAAUUUGCUCUCCCAUUAUCUGAGCAUCACAGUUGAGUGGAGAUCUCUCUUCUAGGUAAACAGUGGGUUAAUGAGGUGUUGGGUUCCAAAAAUCCCAGGUGGGCAUGCAGCAAAGGGAGAACAAAGAGAGUCAAAGGGGCUAACUUAAAGAAAAGGUUGGCUUUGCUGAACCACAAAGACUAGACUCCCAAUAUCCUUCUCCCAUGAACAUCAGAUAUCGAUGAACAGCCACUUGUUAUCAUGAGUAGCAUAGAAAUAUUGAUCUAGUUUGCAUUGAGGAAUUGCAGUCAGCCCUCCAUAUCCACAGAUUCUGCAUCCAUGCAUUUAAUAAUCUAUGACUUGAAAAUAUUCCCCCCCC
This is an RNA transcript of Anolis carolinensis (green anole), 8294 nucleotides long. It is a transcript of the gene named tripartite motif containing 44, with no coding region annotated. The transcript is spliced from 3 exons. The record is from RefSeq and is a predicted model, not a curated record. Lineage: Eukaryota; Metazoa; Chordata; Lepidosauria; Squamata; Anolidae.